AUGACUACCUUGGAUACGACCAAAAAUAUUGCAUACAUGCAUAUUUGUUAGGUGAUUUCUAAUGCAAACUAUUCAAUAAUCUAUUUAUGUUAUCCAGAACAAAAAUACUUCACAUACUUUUGUGUUUUGUCUAAUUGCAGGUGUGUGGGACAUUUGUACAAUCCACAUAUGAAGAUAAGGGAAAAGGAGAAGUUUAGGUUGUGUUCAAAAAGUCCUCUCACGUCACUUUUGGGCCAAGAGAAGAUAGAGUCCAAGUCUCUCACGUUCUGGAUUCAGAUUCGGACUGCACAGACAUACCUGACUCAAAACACCAACAACUUUUUCAUACGGACUCCGAAUUGGGUGAUUCUUUUUUUGUUGGAAACUAGAUUUCGUUCUCUUUCCAACCCAAUUGGAUACACCUUCAAAUUCGUCCGAAGCGUUGAGUUAUAGACGAAACAAUUUGACGUUGCAGCAAAAUCCGAGUCAAACUACAAGCUCAAAGGUGUUGCAUCACCUCCACUUGGGCCCAUGAGCCUUGUACGACCUAGGGUUAGUUUUAGGCUGCCUUGGGACGUCCUCCCACCUCCUUGGCCGCCACCCCUUGCUCCUAUAUAAGUAGAUCCAUCUAGUAGCUUUUUCCUUGGGGAUUUGUUUAGUUAAAAGUUAGCCAUUGCAACUUCGUGUACUUCGUUUGUGUCCAACGACCAGACCAAGACCGCUUCCGCAUCCGCACCAUUAUCAAUACUUCAUAUAUAUUUGCAAUAUUCAGAUUGCUUUAUCAUAUUCUUGCUCGUUCUUUGAUUGCUUGCAGGAAUAGACCUUCGUGGUCAGGCUGAUCGUGCUUCCAGCAUCGUCAGUAACCUCAGGAGAUUGGUUUAGCGAUUGCUAAGGCGCAACGUUGUGCACGUUUGUAGUCGGAUCGUCAAAGUCGUCUCCACCAAAUCGAUAGUUAUCAUCUCAUCGAAAGAUCGGGACCCUCGCCUCUAUCAAGUGGUAUCAGUUUUCAGGUUGCUCGGUGUGAAUUUCCAGUUUUCCUAGAUUAGAUUUAUUUUCUUACCUAUUGUCCAAGAAAAAGCCACAAAAAAGAGUUAGAUCUAUUCAUCCUUGGUCCAAGCCAGUCUGAGCCUUUGCAAUUUUCUUUUCAUUGCUUGCAUAGUUGAAUUAUCGGUUGCAUCAUCGUGUCGAGUUGCUGGUCUUAGUGUCUCGUUCGUUUAGAGUUUCGAGUUCUGUUCACAUUAGUCACGCCACCGCUGCAUCAUUAUCUCUUUCGCUGUCCACCACCGAUCCAUCAAUUUCCACCACGUGCUACCCACCAUUCAUUGUCAUAAUAAUAGUUGAGAUCGUUCACAUCUUCACUUGAUCCAAUCUGCAUCUUAUCUAGUUUGUUUUGGAAAGAGGGAGAAAAAAAGAGAAAAAAAGGAGAGUAAAAAAGAGAAAAAAAUCAUAGAAAAAAAAGGAGAGAAAGAAAAAAAGUGUGAGGAAAAAAAAAGAAGAAAAAAAACAAAAUUCGGAUCUUUUUAGACUCAAUCUCGUAGUUGAAUUCAGAUUGGAAUCUGUUUUGUGUACUGUUCAGUAAAACAGGCAUAACUUCCUCAUAUGAAGUCUGUUUUGCCUCCGCGAGUACUCAAACGAAAGCUAGCGACGAGCCGUAUCUAAAUAGUUGAAGAAGCAAGUUCAAUAUUUGUCACCUCAAAAUCGGCUUCUAAAUAGGUCUUUUUGCCCUCCGAAGUUCAUGAACACAGCUUAUUCCAGUUUUUCAGGACAGUUUUCGAAUUUUUUGACUCCUCAUAUCAACUCGGAAUUGAGUGAUUCCUUUUGUGUUUGAAAGCUUGAGCCAAUACCAUUCUUGAAAAAAAAUCAAAAAAAUCGGCACAAACUUUUUUAGAGGAAAGUUGGAGACAAAGUUGUUGAUAUAUCGUGCUUGGCUGUUGUUUCACAUCAUUAUCUUUACUGCCGUUGUGAUCUUCACUUAUAUCUUGCUGUCCAGAGCUACUUAGUAUCCUUCAUCAAUGCUAUUUGUGCUACAACGUGACCUCAUUAGUGUUCUAGGCUCGCGUCUCUAGUUCGGUCUAGCCUAGGACCAGCACAGUACCGUCGUUGAGCGUUUAUUCAACAUUGCAUCUCUGAAUUAAUUAUUGCUAAUCUUUUGCUACCAUAUAUAGCCAACCCAGCUCCACAUAUUUCUACACUGUGUAUACACACGUUCCCCUGGCAAUCGCUUUACACAAUCUUCGGAGUUAUUUGACACCGCUGGUUGGCUGUCACCACCUGCCGCAUGGUAAGAACUUGUAAGGUAUUGAUAUUUGCUUUACUGUGAGCACUUUACAACCACAUCCUAAUAGUUCAUAGGAACAUUAUUCUCGAAUUUUGGUUCUUGUUUCUACUAAUCAUGACAGGUUCCAGAGAUAAAAGUUCUUGGACAACGGACACAUCUUCACCAUCACGAGAGUUGGGACAACACACACAAGCAUAUGGUCAGGUUAUCUCUUUACCAUAAUUUGAGGGUAGAUUUAAUCCUGCUAUUUAUCUAGCUUGGGAGCUUGAAGUAGAACAAGGUUUUAGUCACCAUGAUUUUUCUGAACUUGAGAGAGUACGAGCUACCAUUAGAGCAUUUACUGGUUUUGCUUCUGUUUGGUGGAGUAUACGUUGUAAGAAAAACAUUGAUAACCAACCCACAACUUGGAAAGUUUUGAAAGCUAUAAUGAGAGAACAAUUUUUUCCUCCUUACUAUCGUCGUGAAUUGCGUCGCAAAUUGGAGCAAUUAAAACAAGGCAGUAACACUGUUCAUGCUUACUACCAAGAGUUCAAAUCUUAUAUGCAUCAUUGUGACAUAGAAGAAUCUGAGGAUGAUACAAUGAAUAGAUUUUUUGGUGGUUUAAACCAUGAUAUUCAGGCAAGAUUUCAGUAUAUUCCUCAUUGCAUUACUGGUAUGUAUGUCCGUGCUUGUACCUUUGAGAGACAGAUACAGGAGGAUACAUUGGGUGACUACAACAACUACUAUUCCAGUUCAUGCUUACCACCGCCGGUUGGUUACUCCACUAUUGCACCUACUAGAGCAGCCCCACCUCGGAUUAUGAGCGCGAUAUCAUCUCAAGAGUAUGGUACAUUGUCAACGUCCGUACCUACAUCAGCUACAUCUCUGCGAGGUAAUAGUAAAGGUAUUGAUGAUAUAACUUCACAUGAGAAUGAAGCAUGCCUAGUUAACUUGAAUGCAUCAUGUGUUGAGUUACCUGUUGAUUUGAGCACACCACCUAUUUUAUAGACUCUUGUUACUGUCAUGAAUGCGUCAUGUGAUCAAACAACUGAAAUAUCAACAAUUUUGAGUGCACCCAUUGAAUUAACUGUUGAUGCAAAAGAACCAAUGUUUAAUCAUUUUGGUAUGACCUCUAAUCUUGAUGACGAUUCUGUGUCCAAUGACUUAUUGCAUGUUUGCUUAUUUAAGCAUGUUGUAGCAUGUAAAUUUGAUGCAAGUAAGAUUUAUUCAUCGAAGUUAGGAUGGUUUAAUGAUGAACAUUGCCAAUCUUUUGAAGUGAAUAAGAGCUUCACUUAUAUGUGCAAACUAAGUUCCAAUAUUUUCAUGCCUUCUACUUCUUGUGAUGAUUUUUUGGCUUUAGAUUUUAUGAACAAUGAAAAUUACUCAUGUAUACAUGUGACAUAUGUGCAAAAAUCAAGGGAAGUUAAAAUGGAUGACAUAUACAUAUACAACAUGUACACCUUGUCUUUUUUGUUAGCCACAUUUCAGAUUAAGCAAUGCCGAGGACGGCUUUGUUUUCAAAAAGGGGAGGAUGAUGAGGACAUGACUACCUUGGAUACGACAAAAAAUAUUGCAUACAUGCAUAUUUGUCAGGUGAUUUCUAAUGCAAACUAUUCAAUAAUCUAUUUAUGUUAUCCAGAAAAAGAAUACUUCACACACUUUUGUGUUUUGUCUAAUUGCAGGUGUAUGGGACAUUUGUAUAAUCCACAUAUGAAGAUAAGGGAAAAGGAGAAGUUUAGGUUGUGAUUCAAAAGUCCUCUCACGUCACUUCUGGGCCAAGAGAAGAUAGAGUCCAAGUCUCUCAAAUUCUGGAUUCAGAUUCGGACUGCACAGACAUACCUGACUCAAAACGCCAACAACUUUUUCAUACGGACUCCGAAUUGG
RNAcentral lists this long non-coding RNA (4120 nucleotides) under Triticum aestivum (bread wheat). RNAcentral's name for it is "long non-coding RNA (TAES_LNC014762)". The record is from RNAcentral. Lineage: Eukaryota; Viridiplantae; Streptophyta; Magnoliopsida; Poales; Poaceae.